GGGGGGGGCGGGCGGCGGGCCGAAGACAUGCAAGUCGAGCGAACAGACGAGGAGCUUGCUCCUCUGACGUUAGCGGCGGACGGGUGAGUAACACGUGGAUAACCUACCUAUAAGACUGGGAUAACUUCGGGAAACCGGAGCUAAUACCGGAUAAUAUAUUGAACCGCAUGGUUCAAUAGUGAAAGACGGUUUUGCUGUCACUUAUAGAUGGAUCCGCGCCGCAUUAGCUAGUUGGUAAGGUACCGGCUUACCAAGGCAACGAUGCGUAGCCGACCUGAGAGGGUGAUCGGCAACACUGGAACUGAGACACGGUCCAGACUCCUACGGGAGGCAGCAGUAGGGAAUCUUCCGCAAUGGGCGAAAGCCUGACGGAGCAACGCCGCGUGAAUGAUGAAGGUCUUCGGAUCGUAAAACUCUGUUAUUAGGGAAGAACAAAUGUGUAAGUAACUAUGCACGUCUUGACGGUACCUAAUCAGAAAGCCACGGCUAACUACGUG
RNAcentral lists this ribosomal RNA (497 nucleotides) under uncultured bacterium. RNAcentral's name for it is "partial 16S ribosomal RNA". It matches the Rfam family "Bacterial small subunit ribosomal RNA", at positions 28 to 507 of the family's 1533-position model. The record is from RNAcentral.